GCCGGGCGCAGUGGCAUGUGCCUAUAGUCCCAGUUACUCAGGAGGCUGAGGUGGGAGGAUAGCUUGAGCCCAGGAGUUCUGGGCUGUAGUGCGCUAUGCCCAUCGGGUGUCCGCACUAAGUUCAGCAUCAAUAUGGUGACCUCUCAGGAGUGGGGGACCACCAGGUUGCUUAAGGAGGGGUGAACCCGCCCAGGUUGGAAACAGAGCAGGUCAAAACUCCUGUGCUGAUCAGUAGUGGGAUCACACCUGUGAAUAGCCACUGCACUCCAGCCUGGGCAACAUAGCAAGACCCCCUUCUCUU
Callithrix jacchus (white-tufted-ear marmoset) is the source of this 301-nucleotide unclassified non-coding RNA. It matches the Rfam family "Metazoan signal recognition particle RNA". Rfam says of the family: The signal recognition particle (SRP) is a universally conserved ribonucleoprotein. It is involved in the co-translational targeting of proteins to membranes. The record is from Ensembl. NCBI's taxonomy places the organism in Eukaryota, Metazoa, Chordata, Mammalia, Primates, Cebidae.